GGGUUGUGAGGUUAAGCGACUAAGCGUACACGGUGGAUGCCCUGGCAGUCAGAGGCGAUGAAGGACGUGCUAAUCUGCGAUAAGCGUCGGUAAGGUGAUAUGAACCGUUAUAACCGGCGAUUUCCGAAUGGGGAAACCCAGUGUGAUUCGUCACACUAUCAUUAACUGAAUCCAUAGGUUAAUGAGGCGAACCGGGGGAACUGAAACAUCUAAGUACCCCGAGGAAAAGAAAUCAACCGAGAUUCCCCCAGUAGCGGCGAGCGAACGGGGAGCAGCCCAGAGCCUGAAUCAGUGUGUGUGUUAGUGGAAGCGUCUGGAAAGGCGCGCGAUACAGGGUGACAGCCCCGUACACAAAAAUGCACAUACUGUGAGCUCGAUGAGUAGGGCGGGACACGUGGUAUCCUGUCUGAAUAUGGGGGGACCAUCCUCCAAGGCUAAAUACUCCUGACUGACCGAUAGUGAACCAGUACCGUGAGGGAAAGGCGAAAAGAACCCCGGCGAGGGGAGUGAAAAAGAACCUGAAACCGUGUACGUACAAGCAGUGGGAGCCUCUUUAUGGGGUGACUGCGUACCUUUUGUAUAAUGGGUCAGCGACUUAUAUUCUGUAGCAAGGUUAACCGAAUAGGGGAGCCGAAGGGAAACCGAGUCUUAACUGGGCGUUAAGUUGCAGGGUAUAGACCCGAAACCCGGUGAUCUAGCCAUGGGCAGGUUGAAGGUUGGGUAACACUAACUGGAGGACCGAACCGACUAAUGUUGAAAAAUUAGCGGAUGACUUGUGGCUGGGGGUGAAAGGCCAAUCAAACCGGGAGAUAGCUGGUUCUCCCCGAAAGCUAUUUAGGUAGCGCCUCGUGAAUUCAUCUCCGGGGGUAGAGCACUGUUUCGGCAAGGGGGUCAUCCCGACUUACCAACCCGAUGCAAACUGCGAAUACCGGAGAAUGUUAUCACGGGAGACACACGGCGGGUGCUAACGUCCGUCGUGAAGAGGGAAACAACCCAGACCGCCAGCUAAGGUCCCAAAGUCAUGGUUAAGUGGGAAACGAUGUGGGAAGGCCCAGACAGCCAGGAUGUUGGCUUAGAAGCAGCCAUCAUUUAAAGAAAGCGUAAUAGCUCACUGGUCGAGUCGGCCUGCGCGGAAGAUGUAACGGGGCUAAACCAUGCACCGAAGCUGCGGCAGCGACGCUUAUGCGUUGUUGGGUAGGGGAGCGUUCUGUAAGCCUGUGAAGGUGUACUGUGAGGUAUGCUGGAGGUAUCAGAAGUGCGAAUGCUGACAUAAGUAACGAUAAAGCGGGUGAAAAGCCCGCUCGCCGGAAGACCAAGGGUUCCUGUCCAACGUUAAUCGGGGCAGGGUGAGUCGACCCCUAAGGCGAGGCCGAAAGGCGUAGUCGAUGGGAAACAGGUUAAUAUUCCUGUACUUGGUGUUACUGCGAAGGGGGGACGGAGAAGGCUAUGUUGGCCGGGCGACGGUUGUCCCGGUUUAAGCGUGUAGGCUGGUUUUCCAGGCAAAUCCGGAAAAUCAAGGCUGAGGCGUGAUGACGAGGCACUACGGUGCUGAAGCAACAAAUGCCCUGCUUCCAGGAAAAGCCUCUAAGCAUCAGGUAACAU
Molecule: ribosomal RNA, 1602 nt
Filed under: Escherichia coli
Lineage: Bacteria; Pseudomonadati; Pseudomonadota; Gammaproteobacteria; Enterobacterales; Enterobacteriaceae
Description: partial 23S ribosomal RNA
Rfam family: Bacterial large subunit ribosomal RNA
Source: RNAcentral